UUUUACAGAUUCUUCGAGAAAUGUACGAAAUCGUUGACUUUGAGAAGUGAUUUCAAAGUUGCGUAUCCGCGCUCCGGGCGGGACGAUGACAAAGAACAGAGCUCCAAAAAAAAUAUCAGGGUGUGAAAUGAAUUCAACUCCGGCUAUCACCUCAACCUGGCGCCGAGGCAUGGACUCCCGCUGUCGGAUUGCACGACAAUUAUUUUCAAUUAAAUUGAUUUAAUUUAAUUAAUUUUAAACCCUAAUUCCUUUUGCAAUCGUCCCAUUAAAAAUUACGUAUGGGUCAUCAUUGGUAGAGAAAAAAAGAGAAAAUACUAGAGGUACGAUUAGGUGCGAUUUCAGCGUCAACUUUCAAAAGUGAUUCGAAUCAGUCAAAGUUCUCAAAGUGCAGUUUUCCGAUAAGACCUUGUUAACAGUGUAGUAACUGAUUUGAUGAAUGGAUUCUGCCGUUAGCUAAGUAACUAGGACUCAUUUGAAUCAUCUUCGUAGCAUGCGUAAGAAUCAGCUAAUGGUAUAUCGAAACGAAUUUUUAUAAUUUAGAGUGAUGCGGAAAAGGGAUUGUAAAAGACACAACUCUGAUUUACUCAUUUUUUUUCAGACCCCUAAGCGCUAAUCCGGCCCUGAAAAUAAGGAUUUCCUGAUGAUUGAAAAAUAUUAGAUUCAAAAUAGGUUUGUGCUCUUCUUUGAAAUCUCUAGUAGAAGCGUUGGCAUUCUGCUCAGCUUCAUGAGCCAAAAAGCAUGUGAAAAAACACAUUGUGCCGUUCAAAAUAAAAUCUUGGUGAAAUUUUCAA
Bemisia tabaci is the source of this 791-nucleotide long non-coding RNA. RefSeq lists it as uncharacterized. The record is from RefSeq and is a predicted model, not a curated record. NCBI's taxonomy places the organism in Eukaryota, Metazoa, Arthropoda, Insecta, Hemiptera, Aleyrodidae.